UAGUUCAGACUCUUGCCCGAACUCCGUAGUCCAGCUGCGGCUAGGAGGUCAGAGGCUGUCCACCGCCUUCGGUCCUUGGCUUGGAGGAUGGAUCCGGGGUCCGGGGCCGAGGCGGCCCCGUUGGCUGGUUUGGCCUGGUCGUCGGCCUCGGCGCCCCCGCCUCGGGGAUUCAGUGCGAUCUCCUGCACUGUGGAGGGGGCGCCCGCCAGCUUCGGCAAGACUUUCGGGCAGAAAUCCGGCUACUUCCUGUGCCUCAAUCCUUUGGGCAGCCUAGAGAAUCCACAGGAGAACGUGGUGGUCGAUAUCCAGGUCCUGGUGGACAAGAGCCCCCUCCCGCCGGGAUUCUCCCCGGUCUGCGAGCCCUUGGACUCCAAGGCCUCCGUGUCCAAGAAGAAACGCAUGUGUGUGAAGCUGGUGCCCUUGGGGGUCGCGGACACAGCUGUCUUUGACGUCCGGCUGAGUGGGAAAACCAAGACGGUGCCUGGAUACCUGCGAGUAGGGGACAUGGGGGGCUUCGCCAUCUGGUGCAAGAAGGCCAAGGCCCCGCGGCCAGUGCCCAAGCCCCGAGCUCUCAGCCGAGACAUGAGAGACCUCUCCCUGGGCCCGCCUGGCCAGCCCAGCAAGGGUGGCUUCCCGGAGCGGACACUUUCGAGGCUGGGCUCUCGGGCAUCUACACUUCGGAGGAGCGACUCCAUCUACGAGGCCUCCAACCUCUACGGCAUCUCAGCCAUGGAUGGGGUUCCCUUCACGCUGCACCCCCGAUUUGAGGGCAAGAGCUGUGGUCCCCUGGUGAGUCCGGUCCCGGGGAGUCUGGGUCUGCCCCUCCCCAUUGCGUUUCUAGGCAACAGGAAUCAGGGAGCAUCGUCUGUGUAACGAGCACCUCAGCACAGAGGGGAGUUCCUGGGCCUUCUCUGCCUUUGCUGAUCUGACCAUCAAGUCACUGGCGGACAUUGAGGAGGAGUACAACUACGGCUUCGUGGUGGAGAAGACGGCAGCUGCCCGCCUGCCCCCUAGCGUCUCUUAGCCCCUCGCCGGCCCCAGGGAAGAGUCCCCUGCCUGACACCCCCGGACUGGCAGCUGCCCACCGCAUUGAAUCUCGGGAGCCUUGGCGGCACAAGGCAUUCCGGACCCUCGGCCACCCAGCAGAGCAGCAGCCCUGGAGGAGGGGCUGGGAGCGGUCUGCUUGGUGAUGGGUCUCCUGCCCCCCGGGCCCUGAUGGGCAAGGCAGGGGGAGGGGCUGGACGGAAACCAGUGCCUUCAAGUCAUUUGUGUCAAAACUUGCUGGUGCCUGGAGGCCACGCGGGCGUCCUCCCUCCAGGAAAUAAACACCACGCUGUCCGGGC
RNA transcript from Balaenoptera musculus (blue whale), 1343 nucleotides. It is a transcript of the gene named multivesicular body subunit 12A, with no coding region annotated. The record is from RefSeq and is a predicted model, not a curated record. The transcript has 9 exons. NCBI's taxonomy places the organism in Eukaryota, Metazoa, Chordata, Mammalia, Artiodactyla, Balaenopteridae.